UGCAAGCGUGAAGGAUUAAAGCAAUUGUUUGAGCUCUUUUUGUUUUUACAAAAAAGCGAGUGCGCAAAGCCUGACCGAUA
RNAcentral lists this unclassified non-coding RNA (80 nucleotides) under Polaribacter sp. KT25b. RNAcentral describes it as "Flavo-1 RNA". Lineage: Bacteria; Pseudomonadati; Bacteroidota; Flavobacteriia; Flavobacteriales; Flavobacteriaceae. The record is from RNAcentral.